Molecule: non-coding RNA, 1241 nt
Organism: Equus caballus (horse)
Lineage: Eukaryota; Metazoa; Chordata; Mammalia; Perissodactyla; Equidae
Source: RefSeq, a predicted model, not a curated record
GGCUUUAGAACUUCAGCCUCCUCUAGUUGUUAAAUGGAAUAGCUCCCUUUUGUUUUGUCUCAUUGUGUUGCAAGGUUCUAAGCAGCAUCUAAGGGAUGAUGAAAAGUGCACGGGCUCCCCCUUACUCUUUUCUCUGGCUUAGGAUGGUGCCUAUUAUUCACUCAUCUAAAGGACAGUUAUUGAGGGCCUCCUUGUGUACCAAGCACUUGUUGAGAGCUGGAAAUCAGGAGGAAGCCGCCUCACUGCCUGAUGGAGAACACAGAAUAAAGACUGUGAAUCACAGUCCAGUGUGACAAGCGCUGGGGACAGAUGGGCGCACUGGGGGCGGAGGGUGUGGUUCAGCCUUUAGGGGCCUGGAGGGGCUUCCCAGCUGGAGAAGCUUCCCAAUUGCUUUGAACUUUUUUUUAAGGAGGUGAUUUUUGCAAGAGAAUCAUAGAGGUAUCCACUUACCAAGUUGACGUCAGUGAGAGGCUGGAUCAAUCCCCAGAACUUCCUAUCUCAGACUUCUUGUCAUUUGAGAAGUUUAAAGAGGCUUCCUUCAAACCAGGAUCAUAAAAAUAGUUAUCCAUAUUUUCUUCUAUUAAUUUCAAGCCUUCAAGAUAACUUUUAAAUUGUUGAUCCGUCUGGAAUUUAUUUUGGUAUAAAAGUAAGGAAAACAAAUUACAAAAGUAACCUAUGCUUGCUAUAACAAAGUCAAACAAUACAGACAUGUGGAGAAUAAGCCUUGACAACCUCUCUCUCUUCCCCUUUAACAACACAUCCCAGAGGAAACUCCAAUCAGCUGCUUGUUGAGCGUCCAUCCUUUCAGAUGUUCUCCCAUUCUUAUGCAUAAAAGCGUUUCAUGAAGAAGAGCUACCAAAAUAUCAGUGACAUUUUGACUAGGAUUUCAAUAAAUAUUUGUAAAGAUGUAUUUUCCUUAACAUUUCUGGCUUCCAAAUCAUGUAAUGCCUCAGCAUUUCAGGUUUUUUUAAUGUGUAUACCAGUAUAACACCACUCAUGUACAUCACAGAAACUGCGUGGGGCGGUUAAGGACAAGAAAACACGUUUCAAAUGGACCUUGUCAGGGCAUUUCUCAAAGUAGGUUCUAUAAUACAUAGAUCCUGCAAGAUGCUCUGCAAAGAAAAUACGGGUUCUCUGGGCAAAUGAGUUUGGGAGACACUAGGUGGUAUAUCUUCCUUUUGGAUAUUUGCAAUGCAGGGCAACUUAUUAGAAACUCUAAGUCCUAUAAUAAAGAUUUAACU